UUGGAAGGAAACGGGUGGACCUGGCGUUAGUCCACUGGAUUCAAUCCUCUGAUUGCCUGGUCGGGAGCCACGAUCGUUGCGACGGUCGGCUUUGCCGGCGGGAGGGCUUUGGAGGUGCAUUUCCAGUGGAUGCGCACUAGAGACAGUUUGGAUUCUGCAUGAAGCGUGUGUUGCCGGCUGUUGCUUGCAUCAGUGUCCCACAUAUGUGUAGUGCGAGUUUUCUUGACUGGAAAACAUGGGUGCGCCCGCUAGUGGCUCAGGUGCUGUGGUCGCGUUUGGGUUGAGGCUAGGUGCUCCUUUCGGGGACCCCGAUCUCCCCUCUCUCGUUCGCUUCAGGCCUGAGCCGGUGUGCCUCUCUGGUGUCCCUGUCAGUUACCCACCUGACCCGUCUUGAAACACGGACCAAGGAGUCUAACAUGUGCGCGAGUUAUUGGGUUGCAAAACCUAAAGGCGUAAUGAGAGUGAAGGCCGGCUUGACUGGUUGAUGUGGGAUCUUCUCUUAGGGGAGGCGCACCACAGUCCCGUCUCGUCUGCAUUGUCAGUGAGACGGAGAUAGA
Molecule: ribosomal RNA, 557 nt
Filed under: Paracanthonchus mamubiae
Lineage: Eukaryota; Metazoa; Nematoda; Chromadorea; Chromadorida; Cyatholaimidae
Description: eukaryotic LSU rRNA
Rfam family: Eukaryotic large subunit ribosomal RNA
Source: RNAcentral